Molecule: non-coding RNA, 84 nt
Filed under: Olsenella profusa
Lineage: Bacteria; Bacillati; Actinomycetota; Coriobacteriia; Coriobacteriales; Atopobiaceae
Also listed under: 1 other name
Description: ZTP sequence
Rfam family: ZMP/ZTP riboswitch aptamer (pfl RNA motif)
About the family: Previously known as pfl RNA. ZMP is also known as AICAR.
Source: RNAcentral
GUUGCGUGCCGUGACUGAUGGGGCUUCGUGGGGCACCACGGUGGGGUGGCACGCAACGGAGCGCCGACCGUCUGGGCACGUCUC